CCUACGGGUGGCUGCAGUGGGGAAUAUUGGACAAUGGGCGAAAGCCUGAUCCAGCCAUGCCGCGUGUGUGAAGAAGGCCUUCGGGUUGUAAAGCACUUUCAGUGGGGAAGAAAGCCUUGGGGCUAAUACCCUCGAGGAAGGACAUCACCCACAGAAGAAGCACCGGCUAACUCCGUGCCAGCAGCCGCGGUAAUACGGAGGGUGCGAGCGUUAAUCGGAAUUACUGGGCGUAAAGCGCGCGUAGGCGGUCUGAUAAGCCGGUUGUGAAAGCCCCGGGCUCAACCUGGGAACGGCAUCCGGAACUGUCAGGCUAGAGUGCAGGAGAGGAAGGUAGAAUUCCCGGUGUAGCGGUGAAAUGCGUAGAGAUCGGGAGGAAUACCAGUGGCGAAGGCGGCCAUCUGGACUGACACUGACGCUGAGGUGCGAAAGCGUGGGUAGCAAACAGGAUUAGAUACCCCUGUAGUC
RNAcentral lists this ribosomal RNA (465 nucleotides) under Vreelandella stevensii. Its description in RNAcentral is "partial 16S ribosomal RNA". It matches the Rfam family "Bacterial small subunit ribosomal RNA", at positions 338 to 795 of the family's 1533-position model. Lineage: Bacteria; Pseudomonadati; Pseudomonadota; Gammaproteobacteria; Oceanospirillales; Halomonadaceae. The record is from RNAcentral.